Molecule: non-coding RNA, 1217 nt
Organism: Sorex araneus (European shrew)
Lineage: Eukaryota; Metazoa; Chordata; Mammalia; Eulipotyphla; Soricidae
Source: the annotation of a RefSeq genome assembly
AUGUGCGUGGACGCGGCCGAGAGCCUGGAGCUGGCCGGGCUGUGGAACAGCCUCCUCACCUUCAUCACCCUCUUCAUGCUCAGCGUCGGCUACGGUGCCGCCGUCACCCUCUGCAAGGUGCACUGGGCCUUGAUGGCGGGGGCGCAGGAGCCCCCCCCCCGGACCUCCCACAACUACACCAACCCGCAGAACCCCAGCGUCUUCCCGCUGAGCCUCUCGAGCUCUAAGUCCUCCGAAGCUGUGGUCGUGGGCUGCCUUGUCCGAGACUUCUUCCCCUUGCCCGCCACCGUGAGCUGGAACCCCAGCGAGGGCUCCAUCAGGAACUUCACCCCCAUGCUCACCAACGGCCUGUACACCAUGAGCAGCCUGCUGAGCCCUGCCCAGUGCAACGACAAAGUGGAGUGUCGGGUGGAGCAUAAUGGCAACGUCAAGGCAGUGAAUGUGCCCUGCAAAGAUACAUGCUGUAAUAAAACUUGUAACGAUGUAAGCGUGACCCUGCACAAGCCGGCCCUGGAGGACCUCCUGCUGGGCUUCCAGGCCAAUCUCACAUGCACGCUGACUGGUCUCAGGGAGCCUAAGGACGACGCCUCCUUCUCCUGGUCACCCUCUAUCGGGGAAGUCAGCAAGGGGGAAUUCAAGAAGAACUACUGUGGCUGCUACAGCGUGUCCAGCUACAUGCAGAUCCGCCCUGACGACUGGAACCGCGGCACGGAGUUCAGCUGCAGGGUCACGCACCCCGAGGCCCCGGCGCCGCUGACCGCCACCAUCUUCAAGUCCCAAGGAAACACCAUCCGGCCCCAGGUGCACCUGCUGCCGCCGCCGUCGGAAGAGCUGGGCCUGGAGGAGCUGGUGACGCUGACGUGCCUGGUGCGGGGCUACAGCCCCGAGGAGGUGCUGGUGCUGUGGCUCCACGGGAACCAGCAGCUGCCCCGCGAGGACUACAUGACCUGGAGCUCCCGGCCCGAGCCCCACAAUGCUGGCACCUUCGCCGUGACCAGCACGCUGCGCGUGGACGCCCAGACCUGGAAGAAGGGCGACAGCUUCUCCUGCAUGGUGGGCCACGAGUCCCUGCCCACGAACUUCACCCAGAAGACCAUCGACCGCCUGUCGGGUAAACCCACCCACGUCAACGUGUCUGUGAUCAUGGCGGAGGCGGACGGCGUCUGCUACUGAGCCGCCCUGCCCGCCCUUUCUCAAUAAACUCUGUGUUGCCCAAA